Cervus elaphus (red deer) is the source of this 1202-nucleotide long non-coding RNA. RefSeq lists it as uncharacterized. The transcript is spliced from 3 exons. NCBI's taxonomy places the organism in Eukaryota, Metazoa, Chordata, Mammalia, Artiodactyla, Cervidae. The record is from RefSeq and is a predicted model, not a curated record.
AUGCAUUAGUGCUUACUGCAUACAAGGCACCGAGCAGGCCUUGUUCAAGGGAUUGGAGCAUGUUAAAGGGGGUCUGGAAGCACUACGGGAGAGGACUAACAUCAACCAACGGGUCAGGGUUACUAAACUGAGUCCGACUCUUUGUGACACCAUGGACCGUAGCACACCAGGCUCCACUGUCCUCCGCUGUUUCCCAGUUUGCUCGGAUUCGCAUCCACUGAGAAGGUGAUGCUGUCUAAUCAUGUAUGUACAGAAUGCGGUGGCUGCCGAAAGAGCGAGAUGAUAAGAAGGAAGUUUUGAUGAGACGUUGUGUGCGGAGGCAGGAGGCAUGGACAGCUUGGCAAACCAUCCAAGGCUGGAGAGAGUAAAUAAAGAUGCAGGAAGAGACCUAUAUCAGACCAGCCAGAGACCAUCUUAAACCAGGGAGGAUGUAUAAGGAUUAAAGAGUUUCAGAAAAAAAAAAAAGGACUACUGUAUAGCAUAUGGAACUAUAGUCAAUGCUUUGUAAAAACCUGUAAGGGAAAAGAUUCUGAAAAACAAUAGAUUUAUGUAUACCUAUAAGUGAAUCACUGUGCUGUAAGCUUGAAACUAACAUGACAUUGUGAAUCAACCAUGCUUCAAUACAUAAAAAUAAAUUUAAGAAAGACUGUCCACAUGCUAGAAGAGGAAGGAGUUAAUUUCAAACUAAGCACUGAAUCUCCUGAUGAGAAGCCUGAGGUUGAAAUGGUGACUGAAAAAUGUUGCAAGGUAGCCCUGGUCUUGAUCUUCAUCCAAAGCGACCUCCCUUUGAAAAGUCCCCGAGCCAGACCCGGGUAGUGUGGGCAGGGCCCUCAGGACUCCAGCUGAUGGGACCAGUGGCUUUUUAUGUGUUCAGCCUGGAGCUGCCCUGGGGGCUCCUGGUAGCUGGGGUUGAAGCCCUCCUGUCACCUGGCCCUCCCUGGAGGGAAUCUGAGUUUGGGGCAGGCUGCCUGCUGGCGUUGGUCAUCCCACGCCACAGCCAGGAGCCACUGUGUCUGUGUUUUGUGGAUCAGCAGAGCUGGCUUGAAUAUUUUGCUCAAAAAUAGCUUAACCCUCAGGUCUUCCCUGGGGGUCCAGUGGUUAAGACUCUACGCUUCCACUGUAGGGGCCAUGGGUUUGAUCCCUGGUUGGGGGGCUAAGAUCCUGCAAGCCAUGUAGCAUGGUCAAAAAAAAAAAAAAAAAGG